ACGUAUUAUGUGACCCGUGUCUCGUGGGAGUACAGCAGGCUUCCGGAGCUAACCGAUGUCCAUAUUGCAGGAGUCAUAUUGGCUCCUGCAUUAACAUAUAUUUAUAAGGGGCGAAGGGGGCCAGUGACGGUCUAGCGCCGUCGAGCCGUGGGCUCAAAAGCCUAUGAAUAAUGGAACCCACAUUUGGGUCAAGAACUGAGCCACGGCAAUAGGCUGACCGUCGAGCCAAGGGCUCAAAAUCCUAACCGUAUGACAGAGUCCUAAACUAGAUGGAGCACGCGAUUGCAGCCUUCGUGAAGAUUUCAUUAAACAAUGGAACUGAGUCAACUGACAAUCAGCUCAUCAAUUUUAUCAUCAGUAUGGCAAGGGCGCCGCGCUGACAAGUCGCAAGCCAUCGCUGAGUCGCUCGUCAAUAUAAGGACUUCCACAUACUUAUUAAUUAUUCUAUUUAAUACUUUUACGACUCAUUGUGAACCAUAUGAUAGUUUAAAUUAUUUUAUAUUUACAGGGACCACUGGCCUGUGACUGCUGAGUGCAGAGCCACCGAGUCAUCGUAAAAUUUAAUCACCUUCUCAUCCACUUGGAGAAGCAAACAGCAGGUUCACGUAAACGACAACUUGAAUUUGCUGGGGCCUGCCAUAACUGACAAAAAGUCUAUGGAGAAGCCACACAGUGACUGUGAUAUGAAGACAACCGACAAGCUGACUUACCUGCUGCCGCAGCAUCACCAACCAGCCUUCGUGCGCGCCUGCAUGGCCUAAGUUACCGCCUCGUGUGCAGCCUUUCCCAGCCGGAUGAAUAGGCAUGCAACCUCCCCGCGCACCAGUCCGAACAGCCCUGCUAACUGCGGCACCGUGCCUUCUGCCCUUCUCCUUCCGUGCGAUCACCAGCAUCCUCUGCAACUCUGCCAGCGUCCGCGAUGUGUCCACUGGCGUCCUAUACCGACGUACUUCAAACGCAGCGUUGUUACUAUUUAUAUUACAUGUUAUAUUACAUGGACCUAUAUAUGGGCCAAUUAGAUCAGUCAAUGAAUGCUCAAA
RNA transcript from Leguminivora glycinivorella, 1040 nucleotides. RefSeq lists it as uncharacterized. The record is from RefSeq and is a predicted model, not a curated record. The transcript has 8 exons. NCBI's taxonomy places the organism in Eukaryota, Metazoa, Arthropoda, Insecta, Lepidoptera, Tortricidae.